GUUAUAUGGAGUAACAGCUUCUGAAGAUGAAGAAGAUAAAGAAAGACUGAGUAUUGACUUUGCACCUUUAGUUGCUAAACUUACUAACCUUCAUAUUUAGGAAUCUUCUCUAUUUUGUGUUGAGCCAGCAGCAAACUUUUAGGUUGCUAUCUUUUUACU
Molecule: non-coding RNA, 159 nt
Organism: Coffea arabica (coffee)
Lineage: Eukaryota; Viridiplantae; Streptophyta; Magnoliopsida; Gentianales; Rubiaceae
Source: RefSeq, a predicted model, not a curated record